AACGCACAUUGCGCCCUCUGGUAUUCCGGGGGGCAUGCCUGUUCGAGCGUCAUUACACCACUCAAGCCCGGCUUGGUCUUGGGGCCCACCCCUGCGAGGUGCCCCCGAAAAUCAGCGGCGAGCUGGUCGGAUUCCACGAAGCGCAGUGACUUGAUCUCGCUCCACGGAACCGGUCGUCUCCGACGGACAACCACCCAAUUUUUACAGGUUGACCUCGGAUCAGGUAGGGAUACCCGCUGAACUUAA
This 246-nucleotide unclassified non-coding RNA is filed under the name Pyrenula sp. RNAcentral describes it as "partial contains 5.8S ribosomal RNA, internal transcribed spacer 2, and large subunit ribosomal RNA". The stretch from base 1 to 52 matches the Rfam family "5.8S ribosomal RNA", at positions 103 to 154 of the family's 154-position model. Lineage: Eukaryota; Fungi; Ascomycota; Eurotiomycetes; Pyrenulales; Pyrenulaceae. The record is from RNAcentral.